Molecule: ribosomal RNA, 402 nt
Filed under: Rhizobium sp. R-45591
Lineage: Bacteria; Pseudomonadati; Pseudomonadota; Alphaproteobacteria; Hyphomicrobiales; Rhizobiaceae
Also listed under: 2 other names
Description: bacterial SSU rRNA
Rfam family: Bacterial small subunit ribosomal RNA
Source: RNAcentral
UCAGAACGAACGCUGGCGGCAGGCUUAACACAUGCAAGUCGAGCGCCCCGCAAGGGGAGCGGCAGACGGGUGAGUAACGCGUGGGAAUCUACCCUUGACUACGGAAUAACGCAGGGAAACUUGUGCUAAUACCGUAUGUGUCCUUCGGGAGAAAGAUUUAUCGGUCAAGGAUGAGCCCGCGUUGGAUUAGCUAGUUGGUGGGGUAAAGGCCUACCAAGGCGACGAUCCAUAGCUGGUCUGAGAGGAUGAUCAGCCACAUUGGGACUGAGACACGGCCCAAACUCCUACGGGAGGCAGCAGUGGGGAAUAUUGGACAAUGGGCGCAAGCCUGAUCCAGCCAUGCCGCGUGAGUGAUGAAGGCCCUAGGGUUGUAAAGCUCUUUCACCGGAGAAGAUAAUGACG